GCUACAUUAAACUAUUUCCUUAACUGAUUAAGGUUUCAUAAAUAACUUUUGUGAAGAGACGUAUAUAGUUUCUUUGUUUGUUGGCAACUUAACCAGAUGAAUAACCGUAUAAGUUUCAUCAUAUCAUUUACCAAAGAUGUGUGGAGUGCACGAUUUUUCCUUCGACGAGUCUAAUCUUCAUCGCGAUCAUGCGAACCAGUUUCUCGAAGAAGAUAUUGCGAAGAUUAUUGACCUCGCUGAGAUGUACUUUUUUGAACUUAUUCCAAAGAACAUGGAAAAAAGCCUUGGCUAUUAGAUGGCGUUAUUACAUUAAUUAAAAAGGAGAUAAGCUUUGCGAUUACAACGAUACACAUAAGCAGAGGUUACAAAAUAAUUUAACUAAACUGUAGUUUUGUGCAAUAAAUAUUUUUCUAAAGUAAA
Anthonomus grandis grandis is the source of this 420-nucleotide long non-coding RNA. RefSeq lists it as uncharacterized. The transcript is spliced from 2 exons. Lineage: Eukaryota; Metazoa; Arthropoda; Insecta; Coleoptera; Curculionidae. The record is from RefSeq and is a predicted model, not a curated record.